This 254-nucleotide ribosomal RNA is filed under the name uncultured bacterium. RNAcentral's name for it is "partial 16S ribosomal RNA". It matches the Rfam family "Bacterial small subunit ribosomal RNA", at positions 524 to 776 of the family's 1533-position model. The record is from RNAcentral.
UACGUAGGGUGCGAGCGUUGUCCGGAAUUACUGGGCGUAAAGAGCUCGUAGGUGGUUUGUCGCGUUGUUCGUUGAAAUCUCACGGCUUAACUGUGAGCGUGCGGGCGAUACGGGCAGACUUGAGUACUGCAGGGGAGACUGGAAUUCCUGGUGUAGCGGUGGAAUGCGCAGAUAUCAGGAGGAACACCGGUGGCGAAGGCGGGUCUCUGGGCCGUAACUGACGCUGAGGAGCGAAAGCGUGGGGAGCGAACAGG